CACACCAAGCACUGCUGACUCGUACGUCCCCAAAUUUCCAACAAUUCUCUUGUCCGAUUCUAGACUAAUGUAGGCCUCAACCUUACAGCAAAUUGCCGGCGGCAUCCACUGUCUCGAAUUAAACAUCCAGCCUAAUUCAGCAGGAAUAUAAUCAAAUCCACACGCCGAAACAGCUAACGAUCCAUUCACCACAGCCUUAUCAUGGUACUUCACCUCCAUCCUCUCCAUAAACUCCGGCUCUCCACAUAUAUCCAAGUAAUCGCACCCAGAAUCAACACAGGCCUCAACGACAGGUUCUCCAUAAAGACGAAAUGGUCCGACACAGUUGAGGAUGAUCUUAGUCUGGGAGGCGAGGUGACGGAGUGAAGCCGGGUCGGUGGUGUCGGCGAUGAGAAUCGGGAUUUCGGGUGGCGAGUUUGGGCCGGAGGCCCAUUGCAAAGCCUGGGAAAGUUUGGAAGUGUUACGGCCUGCAAUGGCGAAGUUCUUCAAGGGGGAAGAAGGAACGUUGAGGAAUUUAAGAGCUUCUCUAAUGACGUAUUUGCCUGUAAAACCUGAAGCACCUAAAAUUAUCACGUCGUAAGUUGGGCUUGGGAUUGCGUUUGGGUUUGGGUUUGGGUUUGGGUUUGGGCUGGGCAUUUGUGACAUUGCCCGAUUGGAAAUUGUUGGAUGGUGUCCAAAAUAGUCCAAUAUUUUUGGCAAAAUGGUCCUAUUUCUUUUAUAUGCAGCAUUAGUAGUCCACAUCUUUUGGCAAAACGUUGCAUUUAUGACCCAGCCUCCGUCAGUUUUUAACGGAGAAAAAUCCCAUGUACGCCUCACGUGAAUUUUUUCUUUCCUGCCAAACUUCAAUGCAGUAGUAGAGAAUCCAUCAAAAUCAAUGCUCCUCAUCCUGUAGUUGGUUUGGAGGUGAGUUAUAGGAGUAUUAAAUUUUGUAUAAGUAAUAUUAUGUUUGACAAUUGAUUAUGAGAUAAAUUCUUCAUUAUAAAAUGGGAAAAUUGUAUAUAAUAGCAAACUAUUAAUUUAAAUUAAAUGAUAUAAACAUAGUUUGAUUUAAUUGUACCACAUAACAAACUGUUGUUAUUUCGCCUCUCUCCUGAUGAAUCUCGCUCGCCACUCUCGUUCUCUCCCUCGCCUCUCUCGCUUUUUAUACAAACACAAAUGUAUAAAAUGUGUUUGUGUUUGUAUAAAGCGAGAGAAAAUUGUAUAUAUACAUAUAUUCUCGUUCCCCUCUUCCAGAUGUCGCUCGCCAAUCUCUCUCUCGCUUAUACAAACAUAAAUGUAUAAAUUAUAUUUCUGUUUGUAUAAAGCGAGAGAAAAUUGUAUAUACACAUGCAGAUACAUAUACACUUAUAAUUAUACAAUACAAAUAUUCUCCUGCCCAGUUCUCUUUUGUCUUUCUCUCUUUCUCGCUUUAUACAAACACAGAUUAUACAAUUGAUCUUUUGUAUAUGUUUAUCGAAACAGAAAUAGAUUAUAUACAACUGUUUUCUUUUGUAUAUGUAUAGCGAAAUAUACAUAUUUAUGUUUGCUAUCAUGCGCAAUUAUGCAAACUAUAACUAUAGUAUACAAAUAUGAUUUUUGUGUUUGCUAUAUGUGAAAGUUGUUCUUAUAAAAUUAAUUUUAUGUUUGAUUUACAAUGGUUUGGGUCGUGUAUCUACGUCCAAUCUACAGUAGAAAAGAAGGUUCCAUCGGAACAAUUAUUUAUUUCAGUUCAUGGUUCUUUGUCUCUCUUUUUUUUUGAAAAAGAAUAAAAAGGGGGGGGGGGGUUGUGAGGAGAAAUGACAAGAAGAUAUUGGAGCAUAAAUUUGGAAGAGAUGAUGGAGGCAGGGAGUUCAUUUUGGUCAUGGCACUAGGAAAUGGAAUCCUAAAAUGGCGCCUUAUAUCUCUGCAAAGCGUAAGGGUAUUCAUAUUACAAAUCUUACUAGAACUGCUCGUUUUUUAUCAGAAGCUUGUGAUUAGUUUUUGACGCAGCAAGUAGGGGAAAACAAUUCUUAAUUGUUGGUACCAAAAUAAAGCAACUGAUUCAGUAGAGUGGGCUGCAAUAAGGUCCCGGUGUCAUUAUGUUAAUAAAAAAUGGCUUGGCAGUAUGUUAACGAAUUGGUCCACUACAGAAAUAUAGGUUAUGAUUUUUAUGCAAGAUAAAAAUAGCUUAAAAAUAUACAUAAAUUUCUUCAUAAUUAAUUGUUAUAUUGCUAAUACAUGCAUAAUUUUUACCAGCUACUCAACGACCUCUUAGAUGCCAUGAAAAUGACAAAGAGAAUUUAGUUGUAUGUCCCUCUGGCAUAAUUUUUUUUCAUUUUUACACGUAAAGAUCUGAUUCUGAGUUUGGUAUAAUUCUUACUUGAGGCAUAUUAAAAUUAAGGUAGCAUAAGGGAACAAGUGAACAAUGAAAGUUUCAAAAUGUUUCUAAACAAGAUUAAGGCCCAAAACUCUAUUUGGGAGUAAUAAUAAGAAGAAGAAGAACAAGAAAAUAUAAACUAAAUCCAAUUAAUGGAUAGAGAAACCUCUAUCUACUCUUGAUGCAAUAUUAUGAUUUCUUUGAUUAUGAUAGGUAACUAAUGACCCUAACUCCAACUAAGGCAUUUUGUUUAGUUGUACGUGAAUGCACACGGGUUGCUUCUCUCUUGAUCAGAGAUCUCAGGUUCAAAACAUCAGUAUGAAAAAAUUCUUGGUAGAGAGCGCUAUCGUCGAAUGGGUCCUACCUAGCGUGAAUUCGAUUAAUCCAAUUUUAAUGUAAAAUAUCAGACACCAAAUAAAUAAAUAAAAGAAAAAAGAAGUGAACGGACACAGAUAUAUGUUAAUCAUGAUGAUCCAUAAACAUGAUAGAUAAGACGCAGAUAUAAUUAAAUUAAACAGAAGCACCUGAUCGGUAAAUGAGAAAAUGAAAUGUGAGGAAGAGCCGAAGAGCAAGCCAUAUAUACUUCUUUAGUGAUUGCUUCUUUGGGAGCUCGAUUUGGGGGUUUAUAUAGGAAAGGGAUGAUAUUUAUUAUCACUCAACUCACAAGAGUUUUCUUAAAAAGUCACUUAACUUUAUUUUAUAACUUAAAAGUUAUUCAAUUAUUGAUAUUUUAUUUAUAAAAUAACUCAAACUUAAUACAGCUCACAAAAAUUAUAUAAGAUAUAUUUAUCAAGAUCCUUUAAUUUUAGAGAAUUUUACAUGGUAACAAUGCACACGUGAUAUUAUUUAGUUUAUGACAUUCCGUUGUCAGUCGGUAUCCUGCGAAGAUAAAUAUACAUUGCAUAAAUAGUUAAAUUUAUUAUAUUUUUAUAAUUAAACCAGAGAUGUAACAGAAUAUUAUGCCAAUAUCAGUUUUGAUAUAUAUAUAAAAUAAUAAUAUGACUUUAUGAUAUUACCGGUAAAUAUGUAGUAUAUUUGACUCAUGUAAUUUUAGGGAUCGAAUCAAGUACGGCGGGUCAAUAAAAUGAUUAAAAUUGUUACUUUUUUAUUUUUUUUAAAUUUAACUUUAAAAAAUUAUGAUAAAUUGAUUGAGUGACUUUUUAAGUGAAACAUUAAUAAUUGGGUGAUUUCUUAAAAAAAAAAAAAAAACUAUCCAAUUAACUAUUGUCUUGUUGUUUUUACAUCAAAUUAUCCACUAUAUAUAAGAUUUUCGUCUUCUAUUUUUCCACCUGAUCGAUAUUACAACUUACAAGCAUUGGUCUUGACAAAAUAAAAUACGUUUUCUUUCAAUAGCUAAUUAAACGAUGAAAUUUAUAGAACCCGAAAAGAGCAGCGAAGAAGCCAACUAAAUCUAUUGAGUUAUUUGUGGUCUUCAAGAAUAAUAUUCUCCGCUUAUAUGAACACCUCUAUAGCACACAAAGACACCAUUUUUUAAAGAAUAAUGACACGCUUAAUUUAGCUCUUUUAAGAAAAAAAAACUUACACGAGACGAAUUGAAAAAUAAUAAUUGCUAGACGGGGUGGAUCUACACCUUUAAGUUAGAAGUUUGGCAGCACCAGGCCCCUUAUUUUCACCUAUUACUAUCGGCAUGGACCAGUUUUGAGAUACGGACGGACAUGAAGAAGGCAUGCAGCAAAAAUGUUAAAAAAUAAAGUCAAAGAAAUAUGAGGUUGUUUGGAAAACGAAGAAAAAGAAAUAUAGCUAGUACAAAUUGCUACUGAUCAGGACACUCCUACAAGUCAAAAAAAUAUGAUUGAUUUUAUAUUUAAAAAUAUUAUUUUUCCAAUGCCUAUUUGACUUACUAUACAUUGAAAUUAAAUGUAAUUAUCACAGGUCCUUUUCAUAAAUAAAUAAAAAAAAAAAGUAAUUAUCACAUUCAAGAACCCAACAUAAAAAUUUCCAACCGAAAAAUCUAAUCGAUAUAACACGGAAUCAAAUUUUAAAAAAAUCAAACCAACAGCAAUGAAUUUUGGUUUUCAAAUUGAAAAAUCAAAUCAAACUUUUUAAAAUCGAACUGAAUGCCCACACAAAAGAUCACUGCAAAGAUUAUCAGUUUCACUGUGUCUAAAUUCCCCUUUUAUAUUGCAUGAAGCUUUCAUGAUUUAUUUCUGGUUAUGUGAGAGCCAUAUGGGACUUUGGAGGAGCACGUCUAUCUUACAUCUCUUUAACUUCCAUAUGAAUAUUUUUCUUUUUCUUUUUUGUGUUUUCUUUGAAUACGUGAAAGUCACGUUUCUUGCAUGUGAUUUUCAAUAUGACUAAAACUGCAGGGAGCAGUUUUCUUUGAAAUAACAUCAAAAGAUAUUCCAUUCUCUUGAAGCCUAUCUUGGAGGUCAGUUGGGCCAAACACAAUCCCAGGAGGGAAAACACCGCCUUUUGGAAGAUUGCGUCGUUCCUUGAGCAACAUUAGGGCACACUGGACUAGAAUGAUUGGAGUUGUCGAAUAACCAAUCUCAGGUCCCAUUACUCUUGUAAUUAUCUCCAUAUCAGGUUUCCUAUUUCCUUGUGACGCAAGGCUGCUGCCAUCACUAAACCCCUGUCCGACAAACCACAUCUUAAAGGAAGCACUUGCCACUUCAUCCUCAGUUGGACCUUUUUUCCUGAAAAAUCCAAGACUGAACACUAAAGGGAAGUUCAAAAGCAGCCACCUCCCUAUAUCAGUUUUACCAAAUAGAGCAAUGAACUUGCCAACUGUAAUGAAACGAACAACACCUAACAGAGAUUUCGAAGCUAUCUUCAUACCAAAGUGAGCUGGCUUUAUGGUAGACCAAAAUCCCUCCCUCCUCUCAAUCUGUUCGGUGCUUUCAUUAACACCAGGUAAACCACGAGAAUCUUCAGCCAAACAUGAAAGUGUUCUCCGUACCACAGUUGCAUCUGCUGAUGGUAACUUUACAGCCCAAAGCCCGACUUCCCUUAGGUGAUUUACCAAUGGACCUUUAGGAAUAGUACCAGGAAUCUGAAACAAUAUUAAUGGAGAGUGAGAGAGAAAUACUAUGUUACACAGAUCUGAUCGAUGUGUUAUUUAAGAAAACGUGAAUGUUGUCCCCACAGCUGCAUGCUACAUAUGUACGGCUUUGAGGAAUGUAAUAGCUAGCAAAUAUUGCAGGUAUCAAGUUGUAAGAAGUCCAUCUAAGAAUGAAUUUCUCUUAUCAUUUGGUUUGAUAAAUCCCCAUCAUUUACUCAUUCAUUCCACCAGAAAUCAACCAUAAAGUUUAUGAGUCCCUAUGAUCGAUACAUGCAUUCAUGAUAUCCAUCACAAGGUUUAUUUAUGAAUCACUACCAUAUACUCAUCGAUGUCAACAGUGGGUUCUCAAUGUCCAAAUGUAAGAUUAUAGAAGUGUAAACAUUCUGCAAAAUGAGAAAAUGACUUUAACAUAAUUCACUGGACAUUGACUAAAAGUUGCACCUUCAAAUUACACAUAAUACCUAAUCGACCUCUCAAGCUUUAAAGACCAAUUGCUUGUCACCAUACAGCAUUUCACCAGUGAAAGAAAAAGUAGUGAAGCUAGAAUAGUUACGCAAGCAUUUAACGAUGUGAUUGAACUGAGCCUUCCAAUAUCUAUCAUCAUUUGUUUGCUAGGUUUUGGCUACUGCACUAUCUUGUUGUUGUUUGUAUUUUUUCUUUAGGUUUUAUAUUAUCUCUCUUAAUAGUUGUUAUGUUUUUGUCAUUGUUUUCUUCUUCACACCUGAAAUUGCUGCACUUGAGCUGAGAGUUAUUCCGAAACAACCUCUCUACCUCCAUGAGAUAGUGGUUAGAUCUGUGUACACUCUAAUCUUCCACCACAAUUGUGGGAUUUCACUCGGUUGUUGUUGGAUGUUCAAAUUCUUUCCAAUCUAACUAAGUUAAAAGUUUGACUAUAUUUUCAUACAGCAUUGAUAGAAAGUAAUGAGCAAUAGAGAGAAGGUGAUAGGAACUUACCUCAGGACGAAGCUUCUUGGGUCUGGAGCGUCUUAGUUCCUGCAAAAUGUCUGCGUUUGCCACACUAAGCACCGCUGACUCGUACGUCCCCAAAUUUCCAACAAUUCUCUUGCCUGAUUCUAGACUAAUGUAGGCCUCAACCUUACUAAAUAUUGCCGGCGGCAUCCACUGUCUAGAAUUGAACAUCCAGCCUAAUUCAGCAGGAAUAGAAUCAAAUCCACAAGCCGAAACAACUAACGAUCCAUUCUCCACAGCCUUAUCAUGGUACUUCACCUCCAUCCUCUCCAUAAACUCCGGUUCUCCACAUAUAUCCAAGUAAUCGCAACCGGAAUCAACACAGGCCUCAACGACCGGUUCUCCAUAAAGACGAAAUGGUCCUACACAGUUGAGGAUGAUCUUAGUCCGGGAAGCGAGGUGACGGAGUGAAGCAGGGUCGGUGGUGUCGGCGGUGAGGAUCGGGAUUUCCGGUGACGGGUUUGGGCCGGAGGCCCAUUGCAAAGCCUGUGAAAGUUUGGAAGUAUUACGGCCUGCUAUGGCGAAGUUCUUCAAUGGUGAAGAAGGAAGGUUAAGGAAUUUGAGAGUUUCUCUAAUGACGUGUUUGCCUGUAAAACCUGAAGCACCUAAAAUUAUCACGUCGUAAGUUGGGCUGGGCUUUUGUGAUAUGGCCCGAUUGGAAAUUGUAAAACAUGUUGGAUAGUCUAAUAUUUUUGGCAAAAUGGUCCUAUUUCUUUUGUAUGCAGUAACAAUGGUCCACAUCUUUUGGCAAAAUGAUGCACUUAUGACCCAGAUUCCGUCAGUUAUUUUUUUAACGGAGAGAAAAUCUCACGUACGCCUCACGUGAUUCUUUUCUUUCCCGGCAAACUUCCAAAUCAAUGCUCCUCCUCCUGUAUUGCAGAUUUGCAGAGCAUUUAUGGCGCCAUGAGAAGUUAAAUGACCAAAUCACAUAGAGUCGUUUGAUAGAAAAUAAAUUUUCAUAAUAUAUUAUUUUUUGUAUAAUUUAUAUGGCGCUUGAUAGGUAAUUAUAAAAUAAUUUACCUAAGUAUUAAAAAUUAAUAUAAUAUUUAGUUGAUUAUUUAAAAACUCACUUAAUUAAUACAUGUAUAAAUUAUGAUGGAAUUUAUAUAUUAUUAUAUAUAGCAUAGAAGGUGGAAUAAUUAAUAUCUAUAUAAAAUAACUUUACAUAGAUUCACUCAUAAGUAACUAAGCUCUACUUUACUAAUACAUGCACGUAACUCUAUCAGCUGGGGCGGAUCUAACUUUAUGGGUGGAGUGCCACGGCACCCAGUGACCUCGGUUAAAACUUUGUAUAUAUACGUAUAUAAGUAAAAUAUAUGAAUAUAUAUUAUAUCUGUCACCCAAUGAAUAAUAUGUUGAAUGGCUCAACUGGCGAAGCACAACUCUAUCAACGUGAGAUUUGAGAGUUUGAAUCUCCUUGGCAGCACUUUAUCCCCCCCUCCCCCCACAGUUAGUUUCUUUAUUUGCUAAUCGUUACUUAUUUAUCUAUCUUUAAUUGAUACGUGCGUUGCAUGAUAUUUUAUAUUAAUUAUAGAUUGAUAUUUCCUCAAUCCUUAAUUAGUUGUCCACUUUUGAAUUGACACAUCUAUUAAGAAAACAAUUAUUGACAUACUGAGAUUAUUGUUUUACCCCUAUUAAUUAUGAAGUGGAUGAAUUAAAAGCUUAAGAUUUUCAAGAAGUUCUACCUUUUUCAAAGUAAUUAAUUGAGGGUAUAAUAGGUAAAAAAAAAUUGUCCUUUCUUGAUUUGUCAAAAUGAACAAGUAAUUAGGGACAACUAUAAAAUGAAAAGUGGACAAGUAAUUAGGGACAGAGGGAGUAUUAAAUUUUGAAGGUCACAUAAGUGUUAAUAAAAAUAUGUUUAAAUAGUUUCUUUUUUGAAAAAGUUUUUGAAAUGAUGGAUAGUAUUAUGUUAAAGAUUUUGAAUUUAAAGGUUCAAUCUUUAACGUCACACUAAGUGGAGAUAACAAGAUUACAUGUAUUAUUUUUAUUUUUUUUCAACUAUAUGGUGUUAAAUGACGUAUACACAUUUGAAUUUUUAAGGUGAAAAAUCUCUUGUUUUCUCAAAGUUCUAGAAUAAGGUCUCUUAUUCUUAAAAAAAUAUAUCAAAAAACAAACUAUUUAAGAGUAUAUAUUUCAUAUUAGAAUAUUUAAAAGAAAAAGACAUUAUUAAAUAUGUAUAUUUGAUCAAUUUAUUUAUAGUAAUAAAAAAACUAAAUAACCCGAAUAUUUACCAUUUAGAUGAUAUGGCACCCCUAGCCUCCGAAUCUUGGAUCCGCCUCUGUACCCCUUACGAUUAGGCCUAAAGAGGUUUUCUUGAUUUUAUUUUAUAGGUUGCUUAUAUUAUUAUUAUUAUUAUUUUGUUUUAUGUUUUUUUGUGAAUUUUUUUUUAUCCUAUUCGUAUAAUUAAGAUAUCUGGAAAAAACAUUUUCUAAAUUUAUUUUGUAAAUGGUCGAGAGAUCUCAAUUCUCAAAGCAAUCGACUCUCCUAAUAGAAAAAAAUUGGAUCUAAAAUAUUUACCCAAAAUGGUCGCUCUACUUGUUUUAUUGCAACCAAAGUACUGCUUCUUCUGAUAGCCCAUUUUGGUUUAGAGAUCAUUUAAUUUGGAUUACCGUUGGCAGUUAUAUUAUUCUGAAAUUCUUCCACGUAGAAUACCAUUGUAAUAGCCAAUACGUUUCAAAUUUACUAGACAAAUAAUUAACAUCUUAUUAUAUUUUUUCCUAUUUACGUCUAGAAAUGAUUUAAGAAAGUAAAUUAUCAAAAGCAAAUUUCAAAAAAAUUAUUCCCUCCCUUUCAUAUUAAUUGAAUUGUUGAGACAUUUUUCAUUUUUCAAAUUAACUUAAUUGUUCAAUUUUCAAGACUACUUUUAGAAUGAUUUUCCAAUUUUACCCUUCAGUAGUUAGUAUUGGAAUUAGUUAUUAAUUAAUGUUUAGUUAUUUUAAUCAUAAUUUUGAUAAUAAUUAAUAAGGGUAAAAAUGGAAAGUUAAGCCUAAUUUAUGUCUUAAUCUUCUUUUCUUAAAAGAGUGUGAAACACCUCAACAAUUCAAUAUUAAUAUAUUACAUAACUAUUUAUACAAUAUCUAUAUUACAUAUAGAUGUGGUCAUUUUGUUGGGAGGAAAAAUGGUCUCAUAAUAUACUUAAACGUAAGAAGCCAAGUUUUAAAAUGUUCUUAGACAAGAUUAGGGCGCAAAACUCAACUUGGGAGUAAUAAAAAGAAGAGGAAAAGAAAUAAACUAGUUCCAAUUGAGGGAUAGAGAAACGUCUAUGAUAUUCUUGAUGCAUUAUUAUAAUUUCUUUAAUUAUUAUAGGGGGACUAAUGACCCUAACUCCAACUUAGGCAUUGUGUUUAGUUGUAAAAGUGAAUACACACAUAUAUUUUCUUCAUUUUAAUUUAUAUAACAUAGUUCAAAUUCAAGAGUAAAACAAGAAAAUUUAUAUUCAAGAUUUGUUUGCAUGUUCUUUAAAUUAUCUUUCGACAUUCUUAAAGCUUGUAUGUCCAAUCCAAAUACAAAACUAAAAUAAAGAAGUUUGACUCUCAAAAUUUAACGUAUAUCAUAGUAUAUCAUAUUAUAAAUCAGAACACAUAGAGAUAGAGAAGGGAAGAACAAGCACCUUAGUAAAUGAGAAAUUGAGGAAGAGCAAGUCUUCAGAGGUUAAGCACUUCUUUAGUGAUUGCUUUUUGGGAAGCUCAACUUGGGGUUUAAAUAGGGAUAAAUGUUCGGAAAAACUACGCAACUACAUAUACAUUACUAUCAUAUAUACUAUAUUUACCUCUAGUUUAAAAUAAUUACACAUAUUACCACUUUUAAUAAUUAUAUCAUAUAUUUUAAAAUAUUUAAUCGGAUACACAAAUUUCUUAAUUAUGGUAUUGAAUAAUUAUCUUAAAUUUAAAUUCCUUAAAUAAUGAUUCAUUGACAGGUCAAUUUUUUCUAUUCCCAUCUGUCGUUGUUCCCCACCUCCAUGUCCAACAACCCAUUUUCUUCCUUCAUCUUCUCCCUCUUUCUUCCUUCAUUCUAUCAAUACAUGCAUGUUCAAAUCAAUAUUUUGCAUAUAGGUUUGUUUCUAUUGUUUUAUUAUUCUCAUGUAUCUGUUAAAAUUCAUAAUGUUUUGAAGUUCAAUUUUAAAAUUUUUUACAAAUUAGGUUUUAUAUUUUUUUGUUUGUUGUUUCUCAAACUCUUUAAUUUAAUGGCUGACCAUCCUCAAAAUCGGAUGAUUCUUGUUAAAGGUACUAUACAUUAACAAUGUUGGAUACACAUCAGGUGUACAUGUAUCCAGUUUAAGAGUUCAUGUAUCUGACUUAAGAUUAUAUGUAUCUAUGAGAAGAAAAAAAAUCAGAUGCUAAAAAUGGAAGAAUUUUUAAAUUUUUUACUUUUUUUUUGGAUUAAUGAUAAGACAAUUAAUACUCUACCAUCCUGAUUUGUUCCUAAAUUCGUGCAUUUUAGUUACAUUUUAUAUUUAGAUACACAUAAUUAAAUGUAUAUGCUUAUUAUGUAUCCGAUGUACAUGUUGAAUAUAGUGUAUGAAAUUGAUACUUGAUACAUCAAAUUAAAUACUAGAUACAUAUAAAAGAUACAUGAAAUUAAAAUUAGAUAAUAUAAAUAGAUACAUGAAAUUAAUACUAGACAUAUAUAACAAAAAUACACGAAAUAAAUCUAGAUACUUCUAUGAUACAUAUGGAUGUACAUGUAUGAUGCUCAUGUAUUUAAGUGUUUAGUUUGUUGGAUACCUCAUAUAUUGAUAAUAGAUACAUCAAAUUAAUGAAUUUAUUAUUUUAAGAGUAAUAAAAUGAAAUUAAUCAAAUUACAUAACUAAGAUAUACAUAUUUUUUGUCUUUUAUUAAUAAUAUUAAUGAAUUUAUUAUUUCAAAGAAUAAUAAAAUGAAAUUAAUUAAACAUAGAUACAUUGCUUGAUUUCCGCCUUAUAUUAAGGGAUUUGAUUAAUUUAAAUUUUUUAAAUUAAUUGUCCAUGUAUUCUAAAAAUCCUCAAUUACUUCUUUAAUUAAGGAAAUCAGUUACAACCAAUUAAUUUAAUAAAUAAAAUAUGUAUCUCAAUUUUAAAAUUCGGAAAAUACAUGUAUUUCGCAAAUUCCAACUCAUGUAUCCUAAGCAUGAAAUAUGAUAGAUGAAGUAAUAUCUGAAACUAUCGAGAAUCUUAAUAAUUAGGACCUAAAUGUUUCGUUCAUCUCCAUUACACUCUUCGUUUUUUUUUUAAGUGCAUAGUAGUUAGAGUAACAUUUGUCCAACUGUUUUUAUAGGUAUAGAUUGAAAUAAUUUAAUAAAUACCUUAAUCAUAAUUAAAAUAAUUGAAUUUUGAGAAAACGUUCUUAACUUUGAUAAGAAAAAGGUAUCUCGCCUAAAAAAUUUAAUGUCAAUUAAUAUCACUAAUUUUACAAAUAUCCAAAUAUUAAAAUACUCCCACUCCCCAACUUCCCUUAAAAUAUAAGCCUUUUAAGAAGAAGAAAAAAUUGAAUCUCAUGCUUAUUUUUAAUUUUCAUUUUUUUUAAAAAAAAGGUGUCCAUCGACCGGGGUUACAUUUGUGUGUCUUUAUAAAAUUUAUCUAUCUUUACACAGAAAAAUUUAAACUACUAACUCAAUAUUUAUCAGAUUAAAAUAUAUAUGGCUAUAUUGUAAUUUAGUUUUUAUAUCAGUUAAAAAAAAUUGGGCGCGACUAUAAUUUUACAAGAAAAUAUGUGAAAAAAUAAAUUUGUCCAUCGAAAUAAUAAAUUCAAAUUAGUUGUUGAAUCAAAUAAGUGAGAAAGAUUAAAUAUACUCCUCCAUGAAUUAUUUUUUAAAAUAAAAAAUUAAAAGGGUAUAAUGUGAGUUAUUUGUAUAAAAACGUAGGAAUAUAUAUGAGCUAUUUUCAUAACCAUGUAAUGCACCAGUAGAGUUAGGUGAUUUGAUGGGUAAAACUUAUCCGCAUCGGGUGUUUACACCAAGCCAAUACAUGCAUGACAUGUGUUUAAAUUUAUAGUUUAUUUUACUUCAUUAAAUCACGUAAUAAUGAAAAUUGCAUUGACUUGAUGUAAACACCUGAUGCGGGUUAGUUUUUUCCAUAUUAUAAUGAAUAUUUAUAUUUUCUACUAAAAAUAAAAAUAAAAAUAGGACAAGUGUAUUUGAAAAAAUGAGAAGUAGAUGUGAUAUAAAUAUAGCCAAAUCUGGCAUAAGAAAAAUUAAAAUAUUUCCUAGGUGGAAAUUUGGAGAUUAGAUAAUUGCCGACUCUUACCAAUUAAAUACUUUCUUUGUUUCAUAUUAGUUGAUCACUUAUUUAUACGGUGCUUAAAAUAUCAUAGAUGAUUUUACUAAAUUCAUCUCUUAAAAAAACUUCUUUGGAAUUUUACAAACAAAUGUAAAUAUUUUAAAAAUAAUUAAUUGCAAGGAUAAUAUAGAAAAAAAUAAUUAGUACUUUCUUAAUUUUGUAAGGUAAUCAAUUAAUUAACACUUUCGUGAUUAAAAAAUUGUUCGUAGUGCAUUUCUUGAAUAUAGGAUUAAUUUUAGACAAUCAUUUGCAAUGUAUUUGAUAGCUAAUGUAUGUUGGGGGCUUAGACAAAAAGAGUAUAUGAUAUCUUAAUUUUUUUAUCAAUAUUUUAGAAGUUUAUGAAACUUUAAAAUGUUUCUUCACGAGAAUAUUCUUUUUUAUAAAAAACUAAGCUAGAAAUUUAAGUAAAGUAGCCUUCAAAAAUUUUAGAAAAAAAAUUAAAUUCAUUUUACCGAAUAUCAAUAUCAUAAAAUUUCGAUGUCUAUCGUAUUAAUUAAACAAGAGGGUUUCCCCACUAGAUAAGAUACAUAAAUUGUGCUAGUACUUAUUAUAUAUUUGGUCAAUUAUGACGCAUAUACUUGAAAACCAAUAGCAGAGAAUGGGGCCAUAUUGAAAGUUUUGCAGGUCACCUCAUAUGAUCUUAAGCAUAUCGCGAAAAAAUAAAAUAAAGCUUUAUUAAAAAAAUAUUAUUUUUUUGAAAUGAAUUAAAAAAAUAAAAAAAACGAACAGAAGGAGUAUGUAUACAUGCAUACAGAGGCGGGUACACCCUUAGGGGUCGUUUGGUAGAGUGUAUAAGGUUAUUAUAAUUAUUAUAAUUAUUAUAAUUAUUAUUAUGAUUAUUAUUAUUAUUAUUAUUAUUAUUAUUAUUAUUAUUAUUAUUAUUAUUAUUAUUAUUAUUAUUAUUAUUAUUAUUAUUAUUAUUAUUAUUAUUAUUAUUAUUAUUAUUAUUAUUAUUAUUAUUAUUAUUAUUAUUAUUAUUAUUAUUAUUAUUAUUAUUAUUAUUAUUAUUAUUAUUAUUAUUAUUAUUAUUAUUAUUAUUAUUAUUAUUAUUAUUAUUAUUAUUAUUAUUAUUAUUAUUAUUAUUAUUAUUAUUAUUAUUAUUAUUAUUAUUAUUAUUAUUAUUAUUAUUAUUAUUAUUAUUAUUAUUAUUAUUAUUAUUAUUAUUAUUAUUAUUAUUAUUAUUAUUAUUAUUAUUAUUAUUAUUAUUAUUAUUAUUAUUAUUAUUAUUAUUAUUAUUAUUAUUAUUAUUAUUAUUAUUAUUAUUAUUAUUAUUAUUAUUAUUAUUAUUAUUAUUAUUAUUAUUAGGCUUAGAGGGUAGUUUUGUCAUUAGUUAAUCUAAUGCAUGCAUUAAAACCAUUGCAUUGCUAAUACCUAGAAAUCCAUGACAUUAGCAAUACACACCUUAAUACACAAUAGAGUGUAUAACUAAUGCAAGCAUUAGUUAUCCAUAGGUUGGAAAAGAGUACCAAACAAGGUACUAGUAAUACACAAUGCUAAUGCAUGCGUUAUUUUUCCUAAUACACUCUACCAAACGACCCCUCAGUAUCAAAUUCAUCUCGAUCAAAAUUCAAUCUAAUAUUUUUAAAAUGAAACAUAAAUUUAUUUGUAAAAUAAAGUUAUAACUACAUAUAGUAAUAAUAUAUAUGACCAUAACUUUAAAAUCAUAACACAUAAAUAUUAAAAAUUAAAUUCAUAAAAUUUUAAUUAUGAAGUUACCCCACAUGUAUCUUCAAUUCAAAUAAUAAUAAUUUGUUUUUUGAGAGUUUUAAGUGUGUAUAUAUAUAUAAGGAAGUUAUUUUUGCUGCUCAUAACGGAUCGGAAAGAUGGAGUAAUAAUGAAUAUGUCGAUCAAAUAAUGAUAGUUGAAAACUUUAAUUAAUAAUAAAGUACAUUUACUUCGUCUUUAAAUUAUUAGAAAAAAUGACCCGUGUCAGCACGGGCUCAACAUUAUAAAAAAUUAUAUGCAAAAUAUUAGGAUAAGGUAUGCAUAAUUUAUUUUUAUAAAUUCUAUAUACUAUUGAUAUUUUAAUUAAAUUUUUAAAUCUCAAUUAUCUAAAAAUAUAAUAUAGUAGGGGAAGAUGUUUUCAAUCACAAUAAAUUAUCUCCGAAGCGUAAGGAGUCUAUUGACUUUUUCAUUUUAUUUUAUAUGAUAUUUAAAAAAAAUAAAAUAUUAUUUAUAUUUACUCAUAGUUUGAUUUUAAAGAUCAUAUUUAUCAAUUAUUGAAUAUCUCGAAACCAAAAAACCUAUAAAACUAUCUUCUGAUCCACCUUUAUUUUACUCUAUAUUCUCUAUAUUUGGAGAGUAAAUCGAGAAUGUUCUCUCCAAUCAUUCUCUAUUUCACUCCUUAUUCUUCAUUUAUAGAGAGAAUUGAAAAAUUACUAUUUAUACUUUCUAUUAUUUCUACUAUAUAAUAUUUGUAAUUAACAUAUUAUAAAUCAUAUAAGAGUAAGACCAUUAAUUAAAUCUUUAAUAUUCGUGAUAUUUUUAAUAUAAUAUAACACUUUAAAAAUAUUAUUUAAUAUAAACAUUUUCAAUCUGAAUUAAUAAUAUUUCAUUUUAAAAAAAUCUAUUUAGGACCAAUUCCAAUCUCAUCAAUGGACAAUGGCUAAAGUGUUUUAUUUUUUAAAAAAAUAUGGAAAAAGUUGAGGGAACACAGACGGACCAUAAGUGUAGCGUAUAGUUCAAUGGGUCCCAUCAAAUUCAAUGAUAUUUCAGUGAAUGGCAUCAUCUGUAAUUUAACAGAAAAUGACUGGUCUUUUAUGAAGCUGUUGAUGUGGUCUAAGAAAACUGAUCUUUGAAAAUAUCAUUAUACCCUUAAACUUUCGUCUAAUGCCAAUAAUGUUGAAACUCUCUCUUCUAAUAUAUAGAAAAAAUAUACUAAUAAAUAUAUUCCCUUUCAUCUCAAAUUAUAUUUUAUUUUCCUUUUAAAUUUCUUUUAGGAAAAUAUUAUUUAGGAUGUUUUCUUACUAUUUUAUUUAAAUUUAUUCAUAUCUUAUGAUAUUAUUAGAUAUUUAUUUUAUUGAGUUAUUGUACUCUAUAAGAACAAUUUCUCUGCAUGUACGAACACCUCUUUAGCACACAAAUACAGCUUCUUCACGUACCUUUUAAAAAAAAUAAAAAAUAAUUAGGAGAUGUUUAAUUAGAUUUUUUAUUUAAAUAAAUAAAUGUAUAAAAAAUUAUGUGAGACUAAUUGAAAAGAAAUGCUAGGCGAGGGAGGAUCUACACAUAGUUGUUUAGUAGCUGAUUAAAGUUAUGCGAGUAUUAAUAAUAUAAAGAUUAGUUGUGAAUGAGUUCAUACGUUAUUUUAUGCAGAUAUUAGUUAUUACACUUUUUAUACUGCAUAAAAUAAUAAAUAAAUUUUCUCAUAUAAAGAUUAUUAUGUGGUUUUCUAAAUUAUCAACCAAACAUUAUAUUGAAUUUAUACAUAAAUAAUUUAUUUCUUAUCAUAAAUGGAUAAAUAUAAAAUUUGUAUAUACUAAUCAGAGGCGGAGCCAGAAUUAGAAAUUUGGGGGUUCUAAAUCUUAGGAGAAAAGAGAAAAAUAUUGCAAAGCACUGUGAAAAGAAUUUUCACCGUCAUUUCUUACCACUGAGCUGCCAAUCAAUUUUGUUAAGGAUUCACAGGUGUGUGUAUAUAUAUAUUAAAUUUUCUAAUAUAAACAUAUGAUCUACGGAAAAGUUAGUGGGUUCGUCCGAACCCACGAACCCCCACCUAGCUCCGCCUCUAAUACUAACCAUGUUUAAGCAAACAAAAUUAUAGUUAUAAAGCACAAUUAUCAAUACUAUAGGCUAGUUAUAGAGCCUUAUUACGUGUACUAAGUACUCUCUUUACUUCUUUCCUAUUUUAGACUUCUUUCCUAUUUCUAAAAUUUUCUUUUCCAAAUUUGGAAGCAGCAGGCCCCCUAUUUUCACCUUUUACAGCUUGCAUAGACCAGCUUUGUGAUCAGGACUGACAUGAAAGAAGGCAGACAGCAAAAAUAAAAGAAAUUAUGUAUUUCAGUUUAGAUAUUUACUUAACGAGAAACUAUAAAUAAAAAAAUAAUUUUAAUAUAUAUUUUUUAAAUAUAAUAUUUUAAAAAAUAUAACAUAGAAAUAAUUAUAAUUAAUGAUAAAGGUAAAUUAGGAACUAAGUAUAAAAUUAUUUAUUAAUUUCAUAAAGUAGAUAAAUAUUAUUUAACAUUUCAAAAUAAUAUAAUAUAUAAAUUCUUAAUUCUUUAUUAUGACCAAUCACCAUCUCGUCUUAAAUUUCAUAGCACAUAAACUCAAAAUUUUAAUUUUUCUAUGGAUAAGGCAAGGCCACCGCUGGCCAUCUUUAAUUGAUUUGGACUUUACAGUUGAAGAGUAAAGUUAUACAGCUGAAAACUUUAAUGAAAUAUAACUGGUACAUCCAACCAACCUACCAAAAUGGGCUCUUCUUUUUUCCCGAGAUAAAAUACCAAAAUGAGCUUUUCAUAGGUAUUACUUUAUUUGUCCCAAAAAUUUCACGUCCAUUAAAGAAGAUAGUACUAAAUAGAUGAAUAGUUAACCCAAUUUUCAACUAAACAACAAUAUAUUACUCUUUUCGUUUACUUUUAUUUGUUAUUUAUUUCUAAAAUAAAUUUUAUUUUUACUUGUUACUUUUAAUUUAUCAAGAAAAAAUAUAUUUAUUUUUUUAUAUUUUACCUUCAACAUUUAAUACUUAUUUUCUAAAUUAUUUUUUAAAAUCUAAUACUAAAGAUAAUUUAAUCAGGAUAAUUUAGUAAAAUAAUUAUUUUCUUAAUAAAUGUACUAAGUCAAACGAAGACAAAUAAAACGAACGAAGGAAGUAUUUUUAAUCAAUUUCUUUUUUCUUGUCAAAUUUUAAACACAAUCUAAAAGUAAUAAUUAACUAUUCCACCGCAAAACUACUUUAAGUCCCCAUUUUUAUCAAGCCCAGAAACUAAAAUUCACAAAAAAGAUGCUUUUAAAUAGAGAAGAAUAUCUAUUUCCCCAACUCUAUUUUUCGUUAAAGAAUGAUAAGAGAAAAUGGAACCAACAUGGGUUAUAUGGUACAGUGUGGGACUGUUUUUAUACUUGAUUAGAUGUCUCGGGUUCGAGCCUUAGAUAUGAAAAAAAACUUGUUAGCUGCCAUCCUAAAUGGACCUGUAGUGCGUGAUAUGAAUUUAAUAGAGACUUUCAAUAUGAACUUCGAACACCGAGUAGGACAAAAAUUAAAUAAGAGAAAAUGGAAGAAUAAUUUCUACGCCCAAAAGAAGUAUAUAAAGUUUUCAUUUUGCAACCAACUCGGAAACUAAAAUCCACAAACAAAUGCUCAUAAAUGUAAAAGGGAAAUUUUUACAAAAAAAAAAGAAGGGAAAUUGGAAGAUGAAAUUUCAGACUCGGUCAUUUUGGUUCGAAAUUAUUUUUUCUCAAUUUGUGAGGAGUUCAAAAAGAAAGUUAAACUCAGUUUUUGAUUAAAUUUGAAAAUUUGUUGUGAUUUAGGUGAUUAUUGUUGCGAAAAAUAAUAAUUAAUGGAUGAUUAACUAAGCAUAAAUUAGUAGCUACAAAUUGAUUUGAAGUUCGUAAAAAGACAUUUAAAAGAUCACUAUUAAAGGACUUUUCGCAAAAAACUUAAGUAUACAACUUAAUAACUUUAAUUACUACAAUAUAACAAUACUUCUUUUUCCACUUGUAUAGCAAUAUUUCUUUUUCAAAACUAGAAUUUAUAUUUUAAAAAAACGUAUACAAAGUCAGCCUCGCUUAUCACGUAUUCCUUAAUUUUUUUCAAUUAUUUUACCUUCCCUAAUUUACUUAGAUUUGUUAUAUAUUCUCUCCCACGACGAGAGGUUUCUGACAAAAAUAAAACUUCAUGUCUACUCUGAUCGACUAUUCAAAAAUGGUUAUCAAUAAUUUUUCAAUUCUAAUUCAACACAACGGGCGAUGGGACUCAUCAGGUAUUUGAUAAAAAAACAAUUGAUAUAAUUUUUUUUACGUGGUUGAUAUAUUUAAUUUUUCUCACCAUCUGAGUUUUAAUCUUAUUGGUAAUUAUUCGUUGGUUUAUAUUGUCGAUUUUGGUGUAAUAUAAAAUUCAUAUGAUUUGGUUGAUAGUCUGGUGCAUCGAUUGGCUGGAUUUAAUUGUUGAAUAAAGAUUAAAAUUUAGUAAUUGUUUAUGGUAUAUUACUAGUUUUAUAUAUAUAUAUAUAUAAAUAUAUAUUAUUAGGUUUAAUUGAUUAAUGUACCAACGUAAUCAUAAAUCAACAAUUAUGUGGUUUGAUUGGUAUGUUGCAUGCCUUAUGUUAACAACAUAUAUCAAUAGUUUUUUUGGUGUGUGAUAUGUUGUUAUUGUUAAAAUUUUAGACCUUAUAAAAAGAUCAGCGUCAAGUUAAAAUUUCAGUACAUGUAUUUAUGUAUUUAGUUGUAUUAGUUGGUAUAUAUAACGUAUAUUAUACCAUAAUGCUCAAAUUAUUUAUGGUAUGUGAUUUGAUGUAAUCAUGUAAUUGGUAUAUUAUGUUCGAUUGUAUAUACAACAACUUUAAGUUAAUAUUUUGGUACAUGUAUUGAUGUAUUUAAUUAUCUGAGUUGGUAUAAAUAAUAUAUUGAAAAAUAAUUUAUAUGUUAGUUAUUGUUCAUAUAUAAAAUCCUAAUUUGAAUUUUUUUUUGGUAUGUUAUCUGGUACAUAUGAUGGUGUAUUUGUUUGUCUGGAUUGGUGUCAAAUUAAUACUCUACUACAUGUGUUGAUGUAUUUGUUUGUCUAAAUUGGUGUGAUAACGAAGUGUAUACCUUAAUUUUCAAAAUACUUAUGGUAUGUGAAUUGGUGUAAUUAGUAUAUUUAGACCAUGUAUAAACGCCAACUUCAACUUAAUAUUUUGGAAUAUCUAUCGGUGUCUAAAUUAGAUAAUUAGUAUUGAGUUGCGUAUUUUGUGAUGGUAAUUUAUUAUGUAUAAUUAUUAGUUGAAAAUAAAUAAAUUAUUUGGUGUAACUGAUUGUGUGAAUUAAGUUUUUAUACACCACUAUAAUACAUCGCAAGGAUAUUAUGUAGUUUGGUUUGGGUUGUUUAAUUACAACAAAUUUGCCAAUUUGUUAUUGAUAAGGUUUUUGGUGAAACGUUGGUCAAACUACUAAAUUAGAUCAUCAAUUGUUUUGUAUACCAUCGAUUACCAAUCUAACUACCAAAUUGUGUAAUUUAAUUAAUUUAUGAAAUUCAUUCUACUACAUUUGGAAAUUGAUUAAGAAUUUGUAAUUUUAUACAGGUAAUUAUGUGGAUUAUGAUAUUGAAGGAGUGAUGUAUGAUGCAAACACCAAAUAUGAAGGCUUGAUUACUACUAUAUCUUUCCAAUUGGGUGUGGACAAAAUCAUUUAUCAUUUAGAACUCAAAUAUGUCGUGAGUGGAUCCAUCUCCGCCAAUGAAGAUUCACAACGAUAUGGGUGUCCAAGUUUAUUUAGAUCAAAAGAGAUGCAAUUCCGACUUCUUUUCAAAAUAUUCCUUAUGUGUAACAUGUGUGGAUAGAGCUAUGGAGUCCAUUGGUAUUUUAGAUGAUACAAUGUUGAUGUAAUUUUGAUAUUUUAGGUGACUAAAUAUUGGUAUAACUUGGUGUUUUAGAUGAUACAAUAUUGAUAUAUUAUAUGGUACAUAUAUUUCUUUUAGGGAAAAUUGUAUGAAAUAACAAACUAUUAAUUCAAAUUAAAUUUUAGGGAAAAAGGUCUGAAAUAUAUCUGAACUUUGACCGAAAUUGCUGUAACGAUACCAAACUUUGGAAAGGACCUUUUACCCCCUGCACUAUUUAAUAGUGUAUUUUAAAUGUAUAUAUGUGUCCACGUGGACAUCAUAAAUAUUACAUAAUUAUAAAUAGUAACGUGUCCAUGUAGGCACAUAUAUACCUUUAAAAUACACUAUUAAAUAGUGCAGGGGGGUAAAAGGUCCUCCAUAAAGUUUGAUAUCGUUACAACAAUUUCGGCCAAAGUUGGAGUAUUUUUCAGACCAUUUUCCCUAAAUUCUAUAUCCAUAGUGUAUUUUAUUUGUAAUUUGCAGCAAACAUCCCAUUUUUUGUCAUCCGGUUCGGUAAACAAUUAGCCAUUUUUGAUAUACAAUUACCCAUUCGGUAUACAAAUGUAUAAAAUGCAUUUGUGUUUGUAUAAAGCGAGAGAAAAGUGUAUAUACAAAUACAAAUACAUAUAUUUUCUUCCUAUACACUUAUAAUUAUACAGAUAUAGAUCUUAUUAAACAAAUUACAAUGUAUAAAUUCAUGAGUUUAUACAAAACUGAACAAUUUGUAUAAAAUUGGAUGUAUCUAGCGAAUUAUACAAAAUCAAAAGCUCCAUAGCAAACAUAAAAUUUGUUGUAGAGCGCAAUUAUGCAAACUAUAGCUAUAAUAUACAAAUAUGAUUUUUAUGUUUGUUAUAUGUGAAAGUUGCUCUUUCUUUUACACAAAUUUGAUAUAGUAUAUGGUAUAUAUUGAGGUGUGACUCAACACCAAUGUUCUAUGGAAAUCUAUAUAAUAUUCAAGUUUUUAAUUACUUUAUAAACUUUCUAGAUUUAAAUGGUUAUUUAAGUCAUGCCAUAAAAAAUUAAAAUAUUUUGUCAAAAAAAUAACGUACAUAAAUUUCAGAAUUUCUUUUUUGUCACAAUAAAAGAAAAAGAUAUUUGUAUGAAAACAAUGUUAAAGAGGUGAGAGAACACUACAAUCAAUAAAGAGUAUAAUUAUGGUAAAAAAGUAAAUAAUAAUUAUCAAUUCCAUAAAUUUAGCUUAACCCCCAAAAAUAGGAAAUAAUCGGAUACUAAAAUAUACAAAAAUAAAAUAAAAUGAAAAUUCAAUAUAUGGGCAAAAAAAUAAAUAUAAAAUAGUAUAACUAUGGUUGAAAAGCCAAAAAGUAAACAAUAAUUAUCAAUUUCAUAAAUUUAGCACAUUAUCCCCAAAAAUAGGAAAUAAACUCGUAUAUUAAAAUAUAUAAAGAAAAAAAAAACAAAAAUUCAAGACAUGGGCAAAAAAACAAUAUAAAAGAGUAAAAUUAUGAUUGGUAAACCAAAAAGUAAACAAUAAUUAUCAAUCCCAUGAAUUUAGCACAUAACCCCCCCAAAAGGAAAUAAAUAGAAUAUUAAAAUAUUUUUUUAAUAAAAUCAAAAAUUAAAUAUUCUGUCAUGUUUGUAAUUUUAAACUUAGUUUUGUAAAUAAAAAGGAGUACAUACAUAUACUGUUAAUUAAGAAUUUAAGAUCUUAAAUAGUAUAUUCUUGUAAUUGGCAUUUGAGAAAAGCUCAAUGAAAUUAUGAAAUGAUGAUUUUGUGAUAUCAAACCAGGAGAAAGAAUAAUGAUAAUUAUGUAAUAUAUGUCUUUUCAUCUAACCCUUACAUGCCUAUAAAGGUGUAUUCACCCUCUUGGACAGGUGAGCGUCUAAAUGUUAGCAGGACUCCAAUGAAUUAUAGACGUAUUACGUAUAAUUGAGGAUUGACUAAUAGAUUAAUAGAUUAGGAGGGCAUCACAAAUAUGAAAUAUAUGAAGGCAUUUGGUAAACUUGACAUUUCUCUGGACUAAAAUCUGAGCUUUACUUAGUAAAUUUCAGAUUACUCUCCCCUGGUGUUUGGGUUAUACAUUUUUUUUUCCAGUUAAUUUGAAGCUAAUUACAGUUGAAAACAUUUGUAAAUAUAACCUGAUCAUUUUUGCUUUGUUCUUGGCUGCACAUAAUGCCCCAAGCUUCACAAUCACCAUGUAUAAUAUAGUUUCAGAUGCCAAAGUUGAUUCCUUUACUGUUCCUCAAACUACCAAACAAGCAUAUGAAAGCGAUCAAAUACCUAAUUGUACGAAACUAAUAUGAUCGGAGCCACGCCUUAAUCGUUUAAAAAAUUAGGUAUUCGAUCGCUUUCAUCAGUAGAAAUCAUUCUUCAAUUCAGCCAUGGAGAUGUCUGAUUCUAUUGUCAACUAUGCAAAGCCAGUUCACAUAUUAUUUCUCCCAAGUGGACUGGGAGUGGGACAAAUGGUUCUAUUUUUUCGAUUAGCUUCCAUGUUAGCUUCACACAGAUGUAGAAUCACUUUCAUCACUAUGCCACUUGAAAUAACUACCACAAAGUCCAUCUUGAUCAACAACUUUUUCGCCAUUCACCCAGAAAUCAAUCGAAUAGAUUUUCAAAUUCUUCCUUUGAAUACCUCUACUUGUUCAAUUAGUGAUCCAUUCAUCAUGCAAAUUGAUGCUAUUAGUAACUCACUUCACCAGCUCGGCCCUCUGGUGUCUUCUUUGGAUGAACCAGUUUCUGCUAUUGUCUCAGACUUUUAUUCUUCCAUCUAGUCUUUCACAGAUAGCUAAUAAUCUCAAUAUUCCUCUUUACAAUAUCUCCACAACAUCAGCUAAAUUUUACUCUACUGUAGCGUACCUUCCUGUACUGUUAUCCGAAGAUCCUAAUGCAUUUAAGUACUGUUCGGGCAAUCUUGAGAUUCCAGGUAUAGGAUCAGUUACAAAAUCAAGCAUCCCCCGUUCAUGGCUGGACGAUUCACCAUCAAACUAUGUAUUGCAAGACUACUUGCUGCCAAAUGCUCGAGCUCUUCCUCAAGUGACUGGUGUCUUUCUGAACACCUUUGACUGGUUUGAACCAGAAACAAUUGCUUCCCUCGAUGAUGGAAGAGUAACCAGUUCACUUCCACUUGUUUUUCCUGUUGGUCCUGUGGGAAAUUACAACCUAGGAGAAGACAAUCAGUGUUCAUGGUUAGAUGAACAACCUGCUGAAUCAGUUGUAUAUGUUAACUUUGGUACUAGAGAGCCGAUUUCUGCACAACAACUAAGAGAAAUAGGAGAAGGACUAGAGAUAUGCGGAUAUAAGUUUCUAUGGGUGCUAAAAGAAGAGCUUCUAGAGUUGUUUGGGAAUACAGUCCUGGUAGAGAUGGAAAAGAAAGGGAAAAUAAUGAAACCAGGGGAUUAUGAGGCAGCUAUUAUGGACCAUCCAGCCAUUGGACUUUUCGUGAACCAGUGCGAAUGGGAUUCAGUGAUGAAUGCAGCUUGGUCAGGAGUGCCAAUGAUGGCGUGGCCACAGCAUGGUGAUCAAAAGUUGAAUGCAGAAGUUGUAGAGAAGGCAGGAUUGGGGAGGUAGGUAGAAGAAUGGGGUUGGGGUGAGGAAAAUCUAGUGAAAGGUGGGGAGAUUGCAGAGAUGGUGAAAAACUUAAUGGGAGAUGUUAAUAUGAAGGUAAAUGCAAUGAAAGUGAGGAAACAAGCUAGAAAGGCCAAGGAAAUCGGAGGGAGCUCAGAGAAGAGGCUGAGGAAAUUCAUUGAAACAUUAACAGCAGAACAAAAAUGAUGUAUCUAUGCCAUUCCUAUUGAUCCUUUGCUUGUAAAAAUAAUUGCAACUGCAAUUCGUAUGCUGUUAAAGUCAAAAGAUUGCAGGCCAACAACACACGAAUAAGUUAAAGCACAAUAAGAAUCAAAUGCAGUCAAUUAUAGCAAGUUUACAGGUGUAAAGUGGAAGCUCCUGACAUCGGAGAUCCACAGGAGUUAACAGACCUAACAAAUUGAUAAACAAAGUAGAGCUUAUCCAGUAGUCUAAAUACGGAAAGACAAAUGUCGAGGAAGCACCUUAAGGUAUUAAGCAAGCAUAUAAACAUUCAGAAAAACGUCUAGAAGAAAAACACAUAAUGAAAGCAUAAGUAACUAGUAUCAUUCUCCCUUUAUUAGAAGUUCAACUUUUCCCAUGUGAAUAGAAGGGAACACUACCAUUUAGUUAGAUUGUCUUCUUUGAAAUAACAUCAAAAGAUAUUCCAUUGUGUUGAAGCCUGUUUUGGAGGUCGGUUGGGCCAAACACAACCCCAGGUGGGAAAACACCUCCUUUUGGAAGAUUGUUUCGUUCCUUGAGCAAAAUGAGAGCACACUGGACAAGAAUGAUUGGAGUUGUUAAAUAACCAACCUCAGGUCCCAUUACUCUUGUAAUUAUCUCUGUAUCAGGCUUCCUGUUUCCUUGUGAUGCAAGACUGCCAUCGCUAAACCCGUGUCCGACAAACCACAUCUUAAAGGUAGCACUUGCCACUUCAUCUUCAGUUGGACCUUUUUUCCUGAACCAUCCAAGACUGAACAAUGAAGGGAAUUUCAAUAGCAGCCACCUCCCUAAACUAGUUUUACCAAAGAGACCAAUGAACAGCCCGACUAUAAUGAAACGAACAACUCCUAACAGAGAUUUUGAAGCUAUCUUCACACCAAAGUGAGCUGGCUUUAUGCUUGACCAAAAUGCCUCCCUCCUCUCAACUUGUUCAGCGCUUUCAUUAACACCAGGUAAACCAUGAGGAUUUUCAGCGAAACAUGAAAGUGUUCUUCGGACUACAAUUGCAUCUGCUGAUGGUAACUUUACAGCCCAAACACCAACUUCCUUUAGAUGGUUCAUCAAUGGACCCUUAGGAGGAGGACCAGGAAUCUAAAACAAACAGGAAAAUAUUAGAGAGUGAUAAUAUGCUUCACUGAUCUAAUGUGUUAUUUUACAGAGGAAACACUGAAAGUUACUGUACCAAAGCAGCAUGGUACACAGUAUGCAAUGAGUAAUCCAGCAAAUGUUGCAGGUAUCAAAUAAGCCCAUCUCUAACAAUGAAUCUCUAUUAAAAGUAUGCAUGUAAUAAAAAUGUUGAUCCCUGUCAUACACGGAUUCGAGCUAUCCAUCAUAAGGUUAUGAAUUUCUACCAUAUACUCAUCAGCAUCAUCACAUAUUGACUAUGACACACAUUUUAGGGAAAGAGUUAAUUGGUUCUCAAAGUUCCACAUGUAAAAUACAUUUUUAUAAUGAUGCGAACAUUCAGCAAAAUGAGGAAAACAACCUUAACAUGAUGGACUUUGAUUGCAGUUUACAUCUUCAAACACAUACUGAUUAAUUGAUUUCUAAGUUGUAACGAUUAAUUGCUUCUUAACCUACAGUGUUCUUCCAGUGAAACAAGAGAAUAAAAAAAAAUCCAUUACUCUUUCUCAAUACUGAUGCAAUCUUUACAAAGACAAAAUCACUUCUCAUUUAGCAUCAUUCCCUGCCACAUAAUUAACACACCACAGGACCAGAUGUUGGCCGUAUGGAUUCAUGAAACUGAGUGUACAUAUUUAUAUGUGAAUGCCUUCAUAGAGGACGAAAAGGGUAAAUCAUAAAUCUGGAGGUUCUCACAGCAGUAAACACAUUUUAAUACCACUCACAAAUUGGUUCAGCUUAUAUUUAUCUAUAUCCCAUGACACAAGACUUAAGUUUCAACCAAUUAAAAUCAGAGGGGAUAUAUUGCUCGCGAAGCACACUCCCAGUUUAUCAACUUCAAUUUCUUCUGAUAUGGCUAUGUAGUAGACCAUUUGAAUUUAUGUAAAAUUUUCUCCACAGAGAAUGCUAAAGUUGCCGGAUACCCUGAACUAGAGAAGCCAGAUACAAAUUAAUAAGUAACACAUAAAUAUUGAGUUAUAUUUUUUUUCCAAUGAGUUGUGUAAGGCUUUAUUCUGUUGAUAACCAUGGUAUAUGGGUUCGCUUGUGUUUCUCGUAAUACCUGCUAAAGUUCACAUAACCUCAUCAUUGGUUGGCAUCUUUGAAAAAUUUAAAUUCUAUACCAAACUUUUAUCUUUUACAAAAACACCCUCUCUAAUAGUUGUUUGCGUUGUAUUGCAUAAUUUUUUACGUAAACACUAAAGUAGUGAUAGAAUAUUCAGUGAAUAUGAAAGUGAUGAUACGAUUAUUGAUGAAAAUGAUGAACAAUCGGCUUAGGGUAAUAAAGUCAAGUGCUUUGUCUACUUCACGAUGUAUGGAAUGAUGCUUGUUGCACUCACUCCGAACUACCAUAUUGUUCUAGUCAUGGACACUACUUGUUAUUUGUUGCAAAGAAGAUUCAAUGGACUUGUAAUACAAACUUAUGGUUAGUUUUUAAAUUUUUUAGGUAUAAAUCAUAUUUCCUGAAAAAGAGAAAUAUGUUUCUCAAAUACUACAGCCAAACAGGUGAUGAAAUUUCACUCAAAUAAUAUUUGCAAAAAAUAUUUAGAAAUCUAUGGCGAAACGCUUGUAGAAUAACAAGCCUUCCGUUGGGAGUUCCUUAUGACUAAAUAAAGUAAGAUGUUACCAUGACUGCAAUUUAAGGUGUAACUGGAUAACCAGAACUAAAAACCUCUUCACAUUGGAUGGUUGGGUAAUGGAAUUGAGACCAAGAUCAUCAGUAUCAACAUGAAAUGAAGCCUUACCACAGGACGAGGCCUCUUUGGUCUGCUCCGCUGCAGCUCCUGUAAUUUGUCCAUAUUAGCCGCACCAAGCACCGCUGACUCAUACGUCCCCAAAUUUUUAACAAUUCUCUUGUCCGAUUCUAGACUAAGGUAGGCCUCAACACUGUUAGGAACAGCCGGCGGCAGCCACUGUCUCGAAUUGAACAUCAAUCCCAAUUCAGCAGGAAUAGAGUCAAACCCACAUGCCGAAACAACUAAGGAUCCAUUUUCCACAGCCUUAUCAUGGUACUUCAUCUCUAUCCUCUCCAUAAACUCAGGCUCCCCAGAAAUAUCCAAGUAAUCGCAUCCAGAAUCAGCACAGGCCUCAACAACAGGCUCACCGUAAAGAUAAAACGGUCCGACACAGUUAAGAAUGAUCUUAGUCUGUGAAGCAAGGUCACGGAGAGAAGAUGGGUCAGUGGUAUCGGCAGUAAGAAUGGGGAUUUCGGGUGGUGGGUUUGGACGGGAAGCCCAUUGAAGAGCCUGGGAAAGCUUUGAAGUGUUACGGCCAGCAAUGGCUAAAUUCUUCAAGGGGGAAGAGGGAACGUCCAGGAAUUUGAGAGCUUCUCUAAUGACGUACUUCCCAGUAAAACCUGAAGCACCUAAGAUUAUCACGUCGUAAGUUGGAUUCGGAUUAAGGAUCUGAGACAUUUUUUUUUUAUCGGAAAUCAAAAAAUAGUUUGAUUGGUUUUCCGAUUAUCUCCGGGAGCUGAUCAGAGAGUGGACUUUGGAGACGAAGAGAAGAGGGAAACUAGAAAUCCCCGUGAUUCGGUCUCCCCUAUCAAAGGCAUAGCAUUCUAUGGACUCUUUAACACGUCCAGAAAUGGUAUGCCAACGAACACCCUUUCUCCUCUUUCCCAUGUCCAGAAAUGGUAUGCCAACAAACACCCUUUCUCCUCUUUCCCACGUCCAGAAAUGGUAUGCCAUCAAACACUCUCUCCUUAGCCAAACAAAGUCUUCACAAGCCCCAACAGGCGGUUUUGACGAUAAUAUUACUUCAUCCCUGCAAAAUAAAAGUGGUCUAGUUUGACUUGAUAGAAAGUUUAAGAAAUAAAAAUAAAGUGUUACAAAAAAUAAAGAAAAAUUGCAUAAUAUUGGUAUAAUGAAAGUUCUGGAAUGUAUAGAUGGGAAACACUGGAAGCUAAUUCAAAAAGAGAUCAUGGCAGCGAUAUGUGGAGCUAUCAUUUAUCAUACUUGGCGUGCCAGAAAUUGGAGGCGAUACAAAGGCAAAUGUGUACAGACGGAUGAGGCAAUUGCACAGAUAAAGAAGGAAAUCAGAGAAAGGUUACAGUUACUUAGUAGUUCCAAGAAAGCAAUAAAAUGUAGGAAUUUUAUUCAGCAUUUAAUGUGUUUUUAGUUUUCUUAUGAUUUGGUAGGAGGCCUGCUCUUUGUUAUCAGAGAAAGGUGCUCAUCAUUUGUAUUCGUACUUUUUGUUGGUUAUGGUAAUAUAUUUUAAGUUGUAAAAAAAAAAAAAAAAAAAAAAAAAAAAAAAUCAUUUUUUUUAAAUAGACUAAAAACAAAAGGAGGUUGAUUUUUUAAACGAAGGGAGUAAUAUUUAUAAUGAAGUAUUUAUGCAAAUAGGGUUCUAUGGUGUAGUGGUUAGCACUCUGGACUUUGAAUCCAGCGACCUGGGUUCGACUCCCGGUAGGACCUCUUUUUUAUAUUCUGAUUUUUCAUCCUGUGUUCGAAUUUGUGUGCGGGGAGAUUCACAUGGAAGACAAAUCACUCUCUAACAAAAAAUAUUGAACUUUAAAUAAAAAUAUUUAACACAAAAGAAAACAGUUCUAAUCAAUUAGCCAUGUGUGUUGCUUAUAAUAGUCUCAAAGAAAUAUCUGAUUAAAUUAUUUAGGAAGUGACAAAUGAGGAGGUUUAAGAAAUUAGUAAUAUAAAUAGGUACAAUUUGAGUCAUUUUCAAAACGGAAAAGGACUAAAUAUAAGUACAAAUUGUUUUAAAAUAUAUGAAAAAGGGCCAAAAUUAUCCUUAAACUAUAGGAAAAAAGUCUAAAAAUACCCUUCAACCAUCCUUUGGUAUAAAAAUACCCUUCCAUUGUUGUUUUAUUUUUUAAAAGAAAUUAUUAUUUGUCAUUUUCUUAUUAGAUAAAAUAAAAAUCUCAUCUCUAUUAAAUUUUUUCCCAUAAUCUAUUCAAAAAAAAUAAAAUAUACCUCUUCAAGACCCCAUUUUUUUAAUAAAAAAAUCUAGUAAUUUUUGUAUUUGCUCUAAAAAAAAAUUUAAAAAAAUUUGUUUUAAAUAAUUAAUAUAUUAUAAGAAUAUUAAUAGUGCCACAAUAUCUAUCUACCUUUCUAAAAUAAAUAAAAAAAUUGUUAACUUAAUUUUUUUGCUAAUUUGUGAUAAAUACUUUUCAAAGAAAAAGUUCCACAAACAAUUUUACUUAUAAAUUAACUCAUUUAAAAAAAAAAGAUGGACGGUCGUAGCCGUAGGGAAAAUUUAAGUAGGAAAAUAGAGAAAAAUGUGUGUAAUGUAUUUAUGGAUAAGAUAAUAUAUUGUUAUGAUUAUGACAUAAUAAAUUUGUUUAUAAAAUAUUAAUCAUCUAUAUCAUGUUUAGAAUCUUGAUUUAAUUAAUUAAAUAUUAGCCGUUAAUUUUUUCUUAUGUCAUGAGUCUUCAAUAGGUAAAAAAUUGAGAAAAUGGAGAGGAGUUGGAUCCAAAAAUAAAUAAAUAAUAAAAAACUACAAUAUUCUUUUUAUAUUAAAAAAAUUGGGGUUUUGAAGAGGUAUAUUUGCUUUGGUUUGGAUAAAUAAUGAGAAAUAAUCUAAUGGGAUAAUUUCAGAGACCUCCCUCUAGGUUUCGCUCUAUAACACUCACCUCCUUUGUGGUUUACGAUAUUACGUCUACCUCCCUUAAUGUAUUUGUGCUGAUUUACUUUUUAAAGUAUUUGUUAAAUGAGUUUUUUUUUAUAUAAUAUUUAUUAAUAUAAAAAAUAAAUAUAUAGAAGGGUAAAAAUGUCAAAUCUAAAUUAAUUUAUAUUUAUUUUAAACAGAUUUAAAGAAUGGUUACAAGAAAAUGAAAAUAAGAGAGGUAGACGUAAUAUCGUAAACCACAGGGGAGAUGAGUGUUAUAGAGCGAAACCUGAAGGGAGGUCUCUAAAAUUAUCCCUAAUCUAAUUGAGGUGGGCUAUUUAUAUUAUCCAAUAGGAGAAUGACACAUAAUAAAUAUUUUUAAAAAAUAAAGAAUAAAGAGAAAAUUGUUAGUUUCAAGGGUAUAAGUGAGCCAAAAAGAUGAAUGAACGGGUAUUUUUAGACCAAAAAAUGGAUGAAGGGUAUUUUUAAAUCUUUUCAUAUAGUUUAUGAGUAUUUUUGGCACUUUACCGUAAAAUAUAUUUUGAGACUUAAUCCAAAUACUAUCUCAUGUUAUACUUUCAAUUCAAAUAUAUCUAUUCCGUUAUACUUUUCACAAAAAAUUACUCCUAAUUCUGAUGGAUGAAUACACCAGCUAUUUCAUUUCCAAUUAGAUUGAUUUCUAUUAAGGUAGAAAAAUAAUGUAGCAUUAUUAAUAAACUCUUACAAUAGUGUAUUGAAGCAGUGAAUGUGACAUUUAAGUUUUACACAGAAAUGUACAAAAUAAGCUCUAAUGGUCAUGAGAUCCCUUAAGAGAAGCUGCAAUAACCCUUGGUGCUCUUAUACCCCGACGUUCCACCCCUCUCCCUCAGAAUUUUUUUUUUAUCACGAGAAAUCCCCGAGGGCCAGAUGGCACACGGUUUAGAACUUGAUGAUAAUAGACCCGCCCCUCUAUCAAGUGUUUUUUUGUCUGCAGCAAGGUUCAAACUCAUGAUGUGAGUCUAACCUACACAUCAACAUUGCUUCAGAGGAAGAGUAAGAUUAUGGUUUAGAUAUCUCUGCCUUGGCAAGCGCCUCGUUCUCUUUCCCCACCCGGUUAGACUUUUUUCCUCGAGCCCCAGCUCACUAGAACAAGGCUGGUUUACCGGAGGUGUGCAAUCAGCAGGAAUUGUUGGGGAAGGAUCAGCAUUUGCUAAACGACGCCUUCCCCUGCCACUCUUACCGGUUUUCCUAUGUGAUAAGCUAGACUGCCAAGAGGAUCCACUAGCUUUAAACAGCUCUUCAAAUGCCAGAAUAUCCUUGUUCACCUCAUACCUUGACAGGGAAAUAAGACCAGGAAGAACGUCCCUCUGGAAAUCUCUCCGUUGCCUGCCCCUUCUUGCUUGCCCUCUUCGAGGCCGUUUUGGUAAGGUAGUGGCCCCCGUUUCUUCGUCAUUAUGGCUCACCAUUGUCAGCAUUUUAUAGGAAUACUCUUCUUCCUUCAAAUCUUCCAGCUUGAGUGUCAUAAACUCAAAGUAAUCAAAGCCAUCGGGAAUGGAUUCCUCAUCAAAACCCGGACACUGUACCUGAGCUGAUCUUUCUAGUAAUGUAUUCUUGGCCACUAGAGUGGGAGGAGACCAAGUCAGCAAACCAUUUGAGGCAGUCACUAGGUUCAGUUUGCAACACAUCAUUUGUAUCUCCAUUUACAGAACUAGACGCUGAGAUGGAAAUUAUAGACUCUGCAGCAACCCUCAUGGCUUCUUCACUCGACUUGUUAGAUUCUUCUAAUGUAAGUUUAGAAUUCCCACAUUCUUCUUCAGAUUCAAGAACUGCUGGAGCCUCUAAGUCUAUCUCAGUGGUUGCAAUCCUCACCACAGCCUGAGGAAGAGGAGGUGCGGAUGGUGCCUCUUCUUCAUCUAAAGACAAGUUCAAAUCAAUCUGAUACCUUAAACCAGAAGUGCAACCAUUUAGUCCUUUUUCUUGAACAAAAUCAUUAGCUUCCACCUUCUUUGUACAAACAGUCUCAUCCCGUGAAAUGAUUGUGGCAGUAACACCGUCAAUAUCAGGAAAAGUGGCCUUUGAGAGAGAACGGGCUGCAUGCGAGUCCUUGGAGGCACUUAAAAUUGGAGCACCAAAAAUUGUCCUUAUUUUAGUGCUGUCACUAACUUCAACUUUCUGGCAUUCAGAACCUUUGGAGGAUAUCGAUGACAAGGUUCCCCGUCUCUGAUCUAUAAAUUGAGAGGAGUUGACUGCUGUGUCUUCUCUUCUAAAAAACUGCUGGGAGUAAUUCUGCAAGGAGUCCAGAUUUAAGUGAUAACAACUUUCCUUCCCUUUGGUCUGCUCUACACAUUCCUGUGAUUUCCCGACUAACCAAGGCAAUGUUUCCCGGGGGUUUUCCUGUUUCCUCUGAGAAUCUCCAGAUACAUGUGUUUUUCCAGCAGCUUCAGUUUGAGAUACACCAGAAGUAUCUCUGGCAUUCUUUAACCCAGCAGAUUUAUAAUCCAUGUCAUUCACACAAUUGAAAGUAUUUGUCCAAUCUUUAGCACUUGGCUGAGAUCUUUUACAAAGAACAUUUUGGUCUGGAAGUACAUUCUUUGAACUUGAAUCUGAUCUGACAUCACUUCCCAUAUGCAUAUUGCCUUGAUAGGCCGCAAGGUUUCGCAGAAGUUCAGUAUAACUCUGAGAAAGUGGUUGAGAUUUAUGAGUAGGCAUUUGCACAUUGGAAAAGCUAGCAGAUUGUACUUGAUUUUCUUCAUGAAUUUCAACGCCAAAAAUUGUCCUUUUCUUUGGGUGCUCAUUCUUGGUUUCCUUAAUGAGAGAGUGCUUGAAAAGUUCAUGACCUUGUGAUGACUGACAGGCUUUAGGUAACUUUUCAGCAGUUUCAAGUCUUCCAGAAGAUCUGUUAUCUGGUUGCUUUUGCUCUGUAACAGAAGAUGAGAUCAAAACGAAAGUUAGUAGCAAAAUAAUAAUAUAAAAUACGGCACGCAAGGCAUGUGUGAUUGUUGCAUCAUGACCUCUACUUUAUAAAAGAGGAAAAUAUGAAAAUUGGAAAGAAUAAAUGAGGUAGGUCCAAACAUCAGUAGAGACUAUUGCGCAAAAUUAAGAGUUUUUCAAUAAUAGAGACCUGUUUACUAGAAUCAUGACCUCUACUUCAUAAAAGACGAAAAUAUGAAAAUUGGAAAGAAGAAAUAAGGUAGGUCCAAACAUCAGUAGAGACUAUUGCGCAAAAUUAAGAGUUUUUCAAUAAUAGAGACCUGUUUACUAGAAUAAUAUGCAUUAACCUCAACAACUGUCUACGCAUUGAAAGAAAACGGGGAUGCAGUAUAUCAAAUGAAGAGGUGUUACACAACAAGAGAUCUUUCUGUGACUAUUACGGUGGUCCUUUCCGCUCCUACUUUUGGUAGUCCAUCUAAACAUUCAUACUGCAACUCAUUUAACAAAUAUCUCAGCAAGAAAAAGUCACAACUAGAACUAAAGUUGUGCACCAUACAGGUUGCUGACAUAUAUUUAGUCUUCCCUUAAUAUCCCUAUAUAGAAAGGACACACCAUAUGGGAAUCCUCUCUAAGUCAAGAAAGUCGAUUUGGAAGUGGCAUCGGAUACUAGCUAAAAAUUCUUCCUUAUCGGCUUAUCCUCCUUUCUAAUGAAACAUAUGAAAAGUAACUGCCUACUGAUACAGUUGAAAAGUAACAAGACAGGUUUACAUCAUGAAAACAUUCUUACCAGCAUUAAAUUUAAAAGUUAACUGCUCUUCUUCAUUCCUGCAAGGCGGGUGGUUGAGGCAAAUUCCACCAAUCCUUUCCUUGAGUGACUUAGGAGAGAACUUCGCCCCAUCAGAGCUGCCAUCCUCGAGGCAAGUAAUGCUGGUUAUAUUGAUAUCCGGAACCAAAGGAGGAUCUUCUUCAAGUGGUAAAGGUUUAUUCAAGUCAGCCAGUUCAUCAGUCCUUUUUGAGGAAUUGGUUCUGUCAAGAUCAGCAUCAGAAUGAAAUUCUAAAGCUCUAGGUGUCUUCACAUCUCUUCUUCGGGGGAUUGGAUAAAUUCCCUCAGCAGGGUUCCCUUGAAUGCCAGCUAAUCCCAAUUGUUUCAUAGUAGUUUGUUCUUCUUCGUUAUUCGUGCACUCUUCAACUACAUAUCUAGAGUUGAACAUUUUUCUCUGGAACAAACUACUACCAGGCUGGUGAGGUUCACAUUCCCUUGAACUGUUUGUGACUUGAGGGGAGAAAUGAAUGGACCUACUAUCGUUCUCUAUAAAAUCAAAGGAUGAUUUGUACUUAGAAGCAUCUUUCAUUGAUAGCUGGCCAGCUAUAGAAUCCAAUGAAGGAAAAUGAGACAAUGAGGGACUAGACUGGAAUAUCUUCAUUUGACUGUUAAACAUUUCUUUCCUUUGAUGUUCAUUCAUGAGAUCUCUUUGUCUUCUAUAUAGCCGGUGGAGUUCUUGGAUCUGUACGUGUAAACCACAUCAAGAGCACAUAAAUGUUAAAACUAUGAUCUCUUUAUUUUAGCCCUCCAUAGAAAUGCAACCAUUUGAGUGAGAAAUAGUUAAAAGUCAAUGUACCUGAUGCCUAAAAAUUGUUUCAUGCUCCAGAAUUGUCUGCCUCAUUUUUUCUCUGUCACAUCCCGAAUAUCCAUCAAUUGGUUGCGACGACAAAAUUGAAUCAGUGCACUGACUUCUUUUCCUUGACUUAUUUUCAUGAUCUAAGAGCCAUGGGGUAUUAGUUCCGUUGUUAUUUAGAUCACUCAUGGAGCAAAAUCCUGGCAAGUACGUCUUACAUUGUACUUUAGUGCCCAUUCCUGCAAUCAUACAAGGGGUAGAAAAAUGAUUAAGUCAGUAAAACAAUUAAACAGAGAGAAAAAAAGCUGAAAAACUGCAAACUAGACAGCAAAAAGAUCAAACACCACGAAUAAGACUUAACGGACUCUAAAUCAGACUAAUAGAAUCUUGCAAAUUUUUUAGAGGGAUUAUAACACAGUUGCAAGCUCAGUAAAAAAAAACAAUCAAUCCAAUCUACUUCAGUUCAACAAGCCAGAGUAAUCGCUUGAAAAUUCUAGUAAGAUCCACGAUGCUAAGAAAUCUUCUGGCUAUGCGAAUGAAAAGGAAAUUCCAAAAUUAAAACAUAUGUCUUCAGAUCACGGAAAGUGCUUCCGUUGAUCUUGCAUUAUACUUCUACUUCUCUCAUUUUUUGAGCCAUAGGCAUAACUUUUUCGUCUUACAAAACAAGUAUACCAACCCAAUUCAUUCAUGUAUAAUUGCUAUCUCUUUGCACGCCAAAUACAACAUUUUUGGACAUACAAAUAUACAAUCAUAGCGGAGGCCAAGUGAGGAAUUCCUCAGGCACGAUACACCCUGUCAAAUUGCCAGUGAGGUUCAAUAUUUACAGAAGUUAUAACAAACAUCAACAUAUCAAAGCCUGCUUACUUCUGAUGGGUUAACAAGUAUAUAACAAUAAAAUUAUUCAAUUUUCAAGUCAAAUUUUGGAAUUGAAGGCAAUGCAAUCUAUGAAUUAAUUCCUUACUUUUCCAUGAAAAAAUAAAAUAAAAAUUCCUUGUUCGAUUUUGCCCAAAAAAGGUAUGAAAUAUCAGUAAAAAAAACUUCUGGUCCAAUUUCCCAAUUCUCUUUUAUUUUCUUCCUUUCAAAUAAUCAAAACAUAAAGAUCAAAACCAAUACAUGAAAGCUCAAAAGGCAAACAGAGAAUAAAACUUGAAAAACAAGUAAACAACAUAAAAGAAAUUAAUAAAGUGAAAAUUUUAAAUUACCUCAAAAAAAAUCUCUUAUAACUCCUCUUCUUAACAACUUGAAAUUCAAUUUUGAGUCUCAGAAGAACAAACAAGCAUAAGAAUUCUGUUUUGUCACAGAAAUUCCUUUUUAAUAAAACCCUACACACCCAAAACAAGAAAAGCAACAACCUUUGUGUUGUCACUUCACAAACCUUAAAAACAAAAAAAUCAUAUCCACAAUCAAGAAUUCAAUUAAAAACACCAUAUAAUAAAAUUUAAAUUAAAAAAAAAGUACCCUUGUGGUGUGAUCAAUCAAAAGAAGCUAGAGAGAUCCCAGAUAAGAUUAAGAUCUCUCUCUUUGUUUCUCUCUCUACAGAGAAAAAAAAAUGAAGUCUUUUGAAAAAGCAAUGACUUAAAAAAUGUGGUCUCUUCAUAUACUUUUAUUUUUUGUUUCACCUUUCAAUCAUUUCUUUACCCAAUUGGCUAUCUUUGAUAGUUAUAUAACAACAAAGUAGUAUCAAAAUGAAUAAAAUAAAAUAUUUGACAGAUUUUAUUUUUCUGGUCUUUUGAGGAACUGAAAGACAUAGGUAUUUGUAGCACAUUUUCUAGAUUCUCUGUGACCCUCUCUCUUUCUCUCCUGCUUGUUGGGUACCACAUAAUUUAAUUUUAUAUUUCUUUAUUAUUGACAACUACUUUAGAUUAGGAUCAUUAUUUUAUAUAUAUAUAUAUAUAUAUAUAUAUAUAUUUUGAUCAUUAGUAAUAAUAAGUAAUUUGCUUUUAUUUUUCAAGUAAUUAAUAAACGAGUACUCAUAGCUAUAAUUAUCAUUUAAAUGAUUUGAUGCAACAUAAGAGAAAAUUAACUACUUUCAUAGUCCAUAUUUAUUUGUCCAUUAUAUUAUUUGGAAUGUCCAACAAUAAUUAUUCAGUUUAUAAAAUCAAUGAGUAAUAUAUAAUUUUAUGUGUAUUUUACACUUGUUAUUAAAACACAAGUUGUGUGAUGACUGAUGAGGCACAAAAUAUAAAAAAUAUCUUUAUGAUCCAAUCAAAUUCAUGAUAGUAGAUAUUGUAGAGCCCUACUAUAAUUUUAGGGGAAAAAAAUUUGGCCAGAAAUUAUCUAUGUUAUUUUACCUUUUUAAACAUUUUUACCCUUUUAAUUUUAAUACAUUUUAACUCAAAAAUGAAAAAAAGAUCAGUUUAUUUUAAAAUAAAAAAAAUAUUAUAUUUUUUUAAUUUUCUGACCACUUAACAUUCCCUUUUCAAUAUUAGAUAACUUAUAUUUAAUAAGGGUGAUUUGAUAAAAUUACCCCUAUCAUUUAGUGUUUCUUAAUCCUUGUGUCAAGUUAAUAAGUACUACUCAGUUUUCAUUUUGCAUCCAACUCGGAAACUAAAAUCCACAAACAAAUGCUCAUAAAUGUAAAAGGGAAAAUUUUACAAAAAAGUAAAUGGAGUGAAAUUGGAAGGUGAAAUUUCGGACUCGGUCAUUGUGGUUCGAAAUUAUUUUUUCUCAAAUUGUGAGGAGUUCAAGAAGAAAGUUAAACUCUAUUUUUUGAAAAUUUAGUGUGAUUUAGGUGAUUAUUGUUGCGAAAAAAUGAUUAAUAGAUGAUUAACUAAGCAUAAAUUAGUAAUUACAAAUUGUUUUGGCAUUUCUCUGGACUAAAAUCUGUGCUUUACUUUAGUAAAUUUCAGAUUACUCUCCCCUGGUGUUUGGGUUAAACAAUUUUUUUUUUCCAGUUAGGUAAUUACAGUUGAAAACAUUUGUAACAACUAAUAUAAACCUGAUAAUUUUUGCUUUGUUCUUAGCUGCGCAUAAUGCCCGAAGCCUUCACAAUCACAUUCACCAUGGUCCAUGUAUAAUAUAUAGUUUCAGAUGCCAAAGUUGAUUCCUUCACUGUUCCUCGAACUACCAAACAAGCAUAUGAAAGCGAUCAAAUACCUAAUUGUACUAAACUUAUAUGAUCGGGGCCACGCCUUAAUCUUUUUAAAAACAUCUAAUUAAUCACUCUGUUUCUGCAGAAAUCAUUCUUCAAUUCAGCCAUGGAGAUGUCUGAUUCUAUUGUCAACUAUGCAAAGCCAGUUCACAUAUUAUUUCUCCCAAGUGGUCUGGGAGUGGGACAAAUGGUUCCAUUUUUUCGAUUAGCUUCCAUGUUAGCUUCACACAGAUGUAGAAUCACCUUCAUCACUAUGCUACUUGAAAUAUCUACCACAGAGUCCAUCUUGAUCAACAACUUUUUCGCCAAUCACCUAGAAAUCAAUCGAAUAGAUUUUCAAAUUCUUCCUUUGAAUACCUCUACUUGCUCAAUUAGUGAUCCAUUCAUCAUGCAAAUUGAUGCUAUUAGUAACUCACUUCACCAGCUCGGCCCUCUGGUGUCUUCUUUGGAUGAACCAGUUUCUGCUAUUGUCUCAGACUUUAUUCUUGCAUCUAGUCUUUCACAAAUAGCUAAUAAUCUCAAUAUUCCUCUUUACAAUAUCUCCACAACAUCAGCUAAAUUUUACUCUACUGUAGCGUACCUUCCUGUACUGUUAUCCAAAGAUCCUGAUGCAUUUAAGUACUGCUCGGGCAAUCUUGAGAUUCCAGGUAUAGGAUCAGUUCCAAAAUCAAGCAUUCCCCGUUCAUGGCUGGACGAUUCACCAUCAAACUAUGUAUUGAAAGACUACUUGCUGCCAAAUACUCGAGCUCUUCCUCAAGUGACUGGUGUCUUUCUGAACACCUUUGACUGGUUUGAACCAGAAACAAUUGCUUCCCUCGAUGAUGGAAGAGUAACCAGUUCACUUCCACUUGUUUUUCCUGUUGGUCCUGUGGGAAAUUACAACCUAGGAGAAGACAAUCAGUGUUCAUGGUUAGAUGAACAACCUGCUGAAUCAGUUGUAUAUGUUAACUUUGGUACUAGAGAGCCGAUUUCUGCACAACAACUAAGAGAAAUAGGAGAAGGACUAGAGAUAUGCGGAUAUAAGUUUCUAUGGGUGCUAAAAGAAGAGCUUCUAGAGUUGUUUGGGAAUACAGUCCUGGUAGAGAUGGAAAAGAAAGGGAAAAUAAUGAAACCAGGGGAUUAUGAGGCAGCUAUUAUGGACCAUCCAGCCAUUGGACUUUUCGUGAACCAGUGCGAAUGGGAUUCAGUGAUGAAUGCAGCUUGGUCAGGAGUGCCAAUGAUGGCGUGGCCACAGCAUGGUGAUCAAAAGUUGAAUGCAGAAGUUGUAGAGAAGGCAGGAUUGGGGAGGUGGGUAGAAGAAUGGGGUUGGGGUGAGGAAAAUCUAGUGAAUGGUGGGGAGAUUGCAGAGAUGGUGAAAAACUUAAUGGGAGAUGUUAAUAUGAAGAUAAAUGCUAUGAAAGUGAGGGAACAAGCUAGGAAGGCCAAGGAAAUCGGAGGGAGCUCAGAAAAGAGGCUGAGGAAAUUCAUCGAAACAUUAACAGCAGAACAAAAAUGAUGUAUCUACGCCAUUCCUAUUGAUCCUUUGCUUGUAAAAAUAAAUGUAACUGCAAUUCGUAAGCUGUUAAAGUCAAAAGAUUGCAGGCCAGGCCAACAACACACGAAUAAGUUAAAGCACAAUAAGAAUCAAAUGCAGUCCAUUAAAGCAAGUUUACAGGUGUAAAGUGGAAGCUCCUGAUAUCAAGAUCCACAGGAGUUAACAAAUUGUUAAACAAAGUAGAGCUUAUCCAGUAAUCUAAAUACGGAAAGAAAAAUGUCGAGGAAGCACCUUAAGGUAUUAAGCAAGCACAUAAACAUUCAGAAAAACGUCUGGAAGAAAAACAUACAAUGAAAGCAUAAGUAACUAGUAUCAUUCUCCCUUUAGAGGAAGUUCAAAUUUUCCCAUGUGAAUAGAAGGGAACACUACCAUUUAGUUAGAUUGUCUUCUUUGAAAUAACAUCAAAAGAUAUUCCAUUGUGUUGAAGCCUGUUUUGGAGGUCGGUUGGGCCAAACACAACCCCAGGUGGGAAAACACCUCCUUUUGGAAGAUUGUUUCGUUCCUUGAGCAAAAUGAGAGCACACUGGACAAGAAUGAUUGGAGUUGUUAAAUAACCAAUCUCAGGUCCCAUUACUCUUGUAAUUAUCUCUGUAUCAGGUUUCAUGUUUCCUUGUGAUGCAAGACUGCCAUCGCUAAACCCAUGUCCGACAAACCACAUCUUAAAGGUAGCACUUGCCACUUCAUCUUCAGUUGGACCUUUUUUCCUGAACCAUCCAAGACUGAACAAUGAAGGGAAUUUCAAUAGCAGCCACCUCCAUAAACCAGUUUUACCAAAGAGACCAAUGAACAGCCCGACUAUAAUGAAACGAACAAUUCCUAACGGAGAUUUUGAAGCUAUCUUCACACCAAAGUGAGCUGGCUUUAUGCUUGACCAAAAUGUCUCCCUCCUCUCAACUUGUUCAGUGCUUUCAUUAACACCAGGUAAACCAUGAGGAUUUUCAGCCAAACAUGAAAGUGUUCUUCGGACUACAAUUGCAUCUGCUGAUGGUAACUUUACAGCCCAAACACCAACUUCCUUUAGGUGGUCCAUCAACGGACCUUUAGGAGGAGGAGGACCAGGAAUCUAAAACAAACAGGAAAAUAUUAGAGAGUGAGUGAAUAUGUGUCACAGAUAUAAUGUGUUAUUUUACAGAGGAAACACUGAAAAUUACUGUACCACAGCAGCAUGGUACAUAGUAUGGCUUUGUGCAAUGAGUAAUCUAGCAAAUGUUGCAGGUAUUAAAUAAGCCCAUCUCUAACAAUGAAUCUCUAUUAAAAGUAUGCAUAUAAUAAAAAUGUUGAUCCCUGUCAUGCACGGAUUCGAGCUAUCCAUCAUAAGGCUACGAAUUUCUACCAUAUACUCAUCAGCAUCAUCACAUAUUGACUACGACACACAUUUUAGGGAAAGAGUUAAUUGGUUCUCAAAUUUCCACAUGUAAAAUACAUUUUUAUAAUGAUGCGAACAUUCUGCAAAAUGAGGAAAACAACCUUAACAUAAUGGACUUUGAUUGCAGUUUACACCUUCAAACACAAACUGAUUAAUUGAUUUCUAAGUUGUAAUGAUUAAUUGCUUCUUAACCUACAGUAUUCCUCCAGUGAAAGAAGAGAACAAAAAAAAAUCCAUUACUCUUUCUCAAUACUGAUGCAAUCUUUUCAAAGACAAAAUCACUUCUCAUUUAGCAUCAUUCCCUGCCACAUAAUUAACACACCACAGGACCAAAUUGCAUCAAAUAGUUGUUGGCCGUAGCAAGUAGACUGAUGGAUUCAUGAAACUGCGUGUACAUAUUUAUAUGUGUGCUUUCAUAGAGGAAGAAAAGGGUGAAUCAUAAAUCUGGAGGUUCUCACAGCAGUAAUCACAUUUUAAUACCACUCACAAAUUGGUUCAACUUAUAUUUAUCCAUAUCCCAUGACACAAGACUUAAGUUUCAAUCAGUUAAAAUCACAGGGGAUAUAUUGCUUGCGAAGCACACUCCCAGUUUAUCAACUUCAAUUUCUUCUGAUAUGGCUAUAUAGUAGACCAUUUGAAUUUAUGUAAAAUUUUCUCCACAAAGAAUGCUAAAAUUGCCAGAUACCCUGAACUAGAGAAGCCAGAUACAAAUUUAUAAGUAACACAUAAAUAUUGAGUUAUAUUUUUUUUUAAAUGAGCUGUGUAAGGGCUAAGGCUUUGCUCUGUUGAUAACCAUGGUGUAUGAGUUAGCUUGCAUGUCUCGUAAUCCCCGCUAAAGUACACAUAACCUCAACAUCGGGAUGCACACGUAGGAGGGGGUUGAGUUAUAUUUGUCAAUUUGUCCUUCCAUUGGGAGUUCCUUAUGACUAAAUAAACUAAGAUGUUACCAUGACUGCAAUUUAAGGAGGCAAAACAGAUGGUUGGGUAAUGGAAUUGAGACCAAGAUCAUCAGUAUCAACAUGAAAUGAAGCCUUACCACAGGACGAGGCCUCUUUGGUCUGCUCCGCCGCAGCUCCUGUAAUUUGUCCACAUUAGCCACACCAAGCACCGCUGACUCAUACGUCCCCAAAUUUCCAACAAUUCUCUUGUCCGAUUCUAGACUAAGGUAGGCCUCAACACUGUUAGGAACAGCCGGCGGCAGCCACUGUCUCGAAUUGAACAUCAAUCCCAAUUCAGCAGGAAUAGAAUCAAACCCACAUGCCGAAACAACUAAGGAUCCAUUUUCCACAGCCUUAUCAUGGUACUUCACCUCCAUCCUCUCCAUAAACUCAGGCUCCCCAGAAAUAUCCAAGUAAUCGCAUCCAGAAUCAGCACAGGCCUCAACAACAGGCUCACCAUAAAGACGAAACGGUCCGACACAGUUAAGAAUGAUCUUAGUCUGUGAAGCAAGGUCACGGAGGGAAGAUGGGUCAGUGGUAUUGGCAGUGAGAAUGGGGAUUUCGGGAGGUGGGUUUGGACGGGAAGCCCAUUGAAGAGCCUGGGAAAGCUUUGAAGUGUUACGGCCAGCAAUGGCUAAAUUCUUCAAGGGGGAAGAGGGAACAUUGAGGAAUUUGAGAGCUUCUCUAAUGACGUACUUCCCAGUAAAACCUGAAGCGC
RNAcentral lists this long non-coding RNA (41674 nucleotides) under Solanum tuberosum (potato). RNAcentral describes it as "long non-coding RNA (STUB_LNC003268)". The stretch from base 28286 to 28357 matches the Rfam family "tRNA". Lineage: Eukaryota; Viridiplantae; Streptophyta; Magnoliopsida; Solanales; Solanaceae. The record is from RNAcentral.